RNAcentral lists this ribosomal RNA (75 nucleotides) under Solitalea longa. Its description in RNAcentral is "partial 23S ribosomal RNA". Lineage: Bacteria; Pseudomonadati; Bacteroidota; Sphingobacteriia; Sphingobacteriales; Sphingobacteriaceae. The record is from RNAcentral.
CGUUGAUAGGCUACAGAUGUAAAGGCAGUAAUGUCACAGUCGAGUAGUACUAAUCAUCCGAAACUUUCUGAAAAG